Molecule: long non-coding RNA, 338 nt
Organism: Cyprinodon variegatus (sheepshead minnow)
Lineage: Eukaryota; Metazoa; Chordata; Actinopteri; Cyprinodontiformes; Cyprinodontidae
Exons: 3
Source: RefSeq, a predicted model, not a curated record
AGAGAGUCGUUCCAGUUCCAAGGUCCCAGUAGAGGUUAAGAUCAGCUCUCCAGAGCAAAGGAAACGGAACCUUUCUGAGAUGCAGAAAAGGACUCUGAGGCUCUAUGAGCAGCUGGAGGAGGUGAAGCAGCAGAGGGCCGUCCGCAGCCGACAGGAGGACAGUGCAAAGAACAGACUGAAGGCCAAGGAGUUCCACAGGAGGACGUUACAGAAGCUUCGUGCGAAGCAGACUCGACGGUUAUGAAGGAUCCAGCUCACUUUAAAUGUUAUAUUUAUUUCAUGAUUUUUUUAAUUUAAUAAAACCCGGAACGUUUUAAGAUCUGCCUCAAAAUAUUUAG